This 73-nucleotide transfer RNA is filed under the name Stegodyphus mimosarum. It matches the Rfam family "tRNA". From Rfam's summary of the family: Transfer RNA (tRNA) molecules are approximately 80 nucleotides in length. The record is from Rfam by way of RNAcentral. Lineage: Eukaryota; Metazoa; Arthropoda; Arachnida; Araneae; Eresidae.
GCCUUCGUGGUGUAGUUGGAAGCAUACUCAGCCCGUACUCGAGAGGUCCAGGGUUCAAAUCCUUUCGAAAGCA